AAAUAUCUUCCUGAGGAGUGUCACAGGUGGUCUCCAUACAAGGCCUCUUUAGUUAACUAAUUUGACGAGUACCAUUGUGUAUUUCCUCUCUCUUUGGGAGAUACACACACAUUUGUACACAGGUAAGGACCCUGAGUUGUCCUGUGCUGAGAAGGCCAGCUUGACCCAGUAUGUCCCAAAUCACUGUAUUUUUCCGUCUGUCCAUGAACAUUCCCCAGAGCUAGAGUUCCACGGCACACAGUGUCCUUUUUUUUUUUUUUUUUUUUGAGACAGAGUUUCACUCUGUUGCCCAGGCUGGAGUGCAGUGGCACCAUCUCAGCUCACUGCAACCUGCACUUCCCAGGUUCAAUCAAUUCUCCCACCUCAGCCUCCCAAGUAGCUGGAAUUAUAGAUAUGCACCACCACACCCUGCUACUUUUGUAUUUUUAGUAGAGACGGGGUUUCACCAUGUUGCCUAGGCUGGUCUUGAAUUCCUGACCUCAGGCGAUCCACUUGCCUUGGCGGGUGGGGGUUACAGGCGUGAGCCACCAUGCCCAGCCUACACAGUGUCCUUUGAGAAAUGCUCAGCCCACAUUCCAUGGGAACAAGAUCCCUCAGCAGUGAAGAUCUCAGUGCAGGAUUGAUGAGGCUCUGUGCGAAAGGCAGCAGAGGAGAAGGCGAUUUCCCUGUUCCGGGUCAGUAACAGCCAAGAUCAGAAUUAAUGUCUGUGGAAGCAGUGAUGGAAGCAGGACAGACGCUCAGUCUCAUCAGUCACUAAGUCAUCUUAAUACCUUAAUCAUAGCCUGUUUUUCACAGGCAAGAAAAUUUCUUCGGGAGAGAGUGAGCAUAGCAAGCAGGGAAUACUCUGCCAGCAGCAUCACCUAUGUGGUUACAGGGCUUAAAACUGUGAAUAUGUCCACUAAUUUAGCAAAAUGCUAUCUGCCUUUAGAGGCCGUCAGCUGCUCUUUUGCAGGGUAGGGGGUUGUAUUUAAGUGGUUUGUAAAGCCCUUGUCUCUGACAAAUUGUCAACCGACUGUAGGGAAGUUAACAGUAGUCUACUCUCUGCUGUCUCUUUUUAGCAGGGGCCAGGUUGGGGGAGAGGACUCUGAAAUGAUCAGCAAGAGGACUGCUGUUAACACUGCCUGCUUCUUCUCUGACCUGGUGGACAGCAGCCACCUCCGUCAACCUGGACUGACUUCGCAGGUCCUAGGAAGAUUCACUCGAGAGGCCUCUCCAAUGUCACGGAAGGAGUGCCAUCAGCUAGCCAUGGCCUUGCGGACAGGGGCGGCAGGACCCUCUGGAUGGUUCCACCAAGGCUGGGCCUUGUCUGGGCCGUGUCUUCCCACGGACACACUGAGACGGUCGCAGUCAUAGCGUCUGCCCCACAAGGCACUGUCUCCUCUCAGGAGCCCCCAUCACAUGAGUGGUUGCACCUUGGAAUGAAAGUUGCAGGGCUGUAGUAAAACUCCAGUUUUAACUUGCUUUAUUCCUCUUUGGGAUGCAAAGAUAAGGUCUUCCUAACCUGUCCAU
RNAcentral lists this long non-coding RNA (1509 nucleotides) under Homo sapiens (human). Its description in RNAcentral is "HSALNT0049091". The record is from RNAcentral. Lineage: Eukaryota; Metazoa; Chordata; Mammalia; Primates; Hominidae.